UGAACACUGAAGGGUUGGCAGGGGACCAGAGAAUAGAGGAAGCAUUGUAGGUUCUAGAGUGGAGAAGGGACCAUCCAAAAUGGAGUUUGAAAGAGAAUUCUGGCCUUUGUGUUUAGAGUCUGGAAUUGUUAAGAGUCUGAAGGCACAGAAUAAGACUGCAGCUAGAGCAAUUUAGGCGCCAUAGUUUGUCAAAACAGAGAUGGGAUCUCACUGUGCUGCCCAGGCUGGUCUCGAACUGCUGGACUCAAGUAAUCCUCCCAUCUUGGCCUCCCAAAGUGCUGGGAUUAUAGUGGACAACCUUGAAUGCACUGGUACUUUGUACCCUGACCUCUACUGUAAUGAAAACUCAACUUGGGCAAGGAAGUGAAAUUCUCCAAAGGAAUUAUUAAGAUAAGGACCAGCAGUACAAUGAGCUUUUCACUGUAUGUCUGACCUGAAAGAAGAAAAUCUUUUCAGAGGACUCCUCUCUCCCCUUCAGUCACCAAGACAAUGAGAGCUCUUGCUAUAGACUACUCAUGGUCAUUUCUUCCCCUGGCAUUCAUAAACUAACAUGGUUCCCAAGCACUACCUUGUUGGCUGAGAGAGAGUCCCCGCCUGUGUUGGGAGGCAGGCUGAGGGCUGCGACGGCUGCUGUGGUGAUUGCUGCUGCUGCAUGCGAUCCUGCAGGCUCCGUGCUUUUCGAAUACUGAUUUGCAACUUCUUAUCGACUAGGGCUCUGCUGUGCGUGCUACAGCUGGCACCAUGCAGGGCAAGUCUUAGUUUAGCUAAAAUGCAAAAGAAAAUAUAGCAGAAACAGAACACAAAACACAAACAAAAAUAAAAAGAAUAAAAUUGAAAAAAAA
RNAcentral lists this non-coding RNA (842 nucleotides) under Pongo abelii (Sumatran orangutan). The record is from RNAcentral. Lineage: Eukaryota; Metazoa; Chordata; Mammalia; Primates; Hominidae.